RNAcentral lists this ribosomal RNA (497 nucleotides) under uncultured bacterium. RNAcentral describes it as "partial 16S ribosomal RNA". It matches the Rfam family "Bacterial small subunit ribosomal RNA", at positions 28 to 507 of the family's 1533-position model. The record is from RNAcentral.
GACGAACGCUGGCGGCGUGCCUAAUACAUGCCAGUAGAACGCUGAAGAGAGGAGCUUGCUCUUCUUGGAUGAGUUGCGAACGGGUGAGUAACGCGUAGGUAACCUGCCUUGUAGCGGGGGAUAACUAUUGGAAACGAUAGCUAAUACCGCAUAACAAUGGAUGACACAUGUCAUUUAUUUGAAAGGGGCAAUUGCUCCACUACAAGAUGGACCUGCGUUGUAUUAGCUAGUAGGUGAGGUAAUGGCUCACCUAGGCGACGAUACAUAGCCGACCUGAGAGGGUGAUCGGCCACACUGGGACUGAGACACGGCCCAGACUCCUACGGGAGGCAGCAGUAGGGAAUCUUCGGCAAUGGGGGCAACCCUGACCGAGCAACGCCGCGUGAGUGAAGAAGGGUUUCGGAUCGUAAAGCUCUGUUGUAAGUCAAGAACGGGUGUGAGAGUGGAAAGUUCACACUGUGACGGUAGCUUACGAGAAAGGGACGGCUAACUACGUG